Raphanus sativus (radish) is the source of this 1106-nucleotide long non-coding RNA. RefSeq lists it as uncharacterized. The transcript has 3 exons. NCBI's taxonomy places the organism in Eukaryota, Viridiplantae, Streptophyta, Magnoliopsida, Brassicales, Brassicaceae. The record is from RefSeq and is a predicted model, not a curated record.
UCGUUCUCUGAGUAUGAGCCUCCCUCUUGGCAGAGCCAAAGUUUCUCCGGACUGAUUUCAGGGUAAAGAUUGAAUCUUUGAGUUGCUCUUUAAUCUUUGAUAGCAAUCUCGUGCCGUAUUGAACGCGGCGAGUGAUGGGUUUAUAGAAUUAUUAUCAUCGACUAAAGUUGGAUCCUUUCAUAGAGAGUCUGAUUGACAUUGGUGGAUGCAUUUUAAUAGGUCGUUGAUUGAUGGAUUAUUGGAAACAACUAAUCUGGUUUAUCUAACAGUUUGAUUGUCGAACAUAUUCUGUUUCUGAUAAUUCAUUGGGCAUUUGUAAUGAAUUUUUCUUGAAUUUGUGAGCCUAAUCGUGCGCUUCCCUUACAGGUUUCAUAAGGGGUUGUUGGAUCAUGUAGCUUCUUAGUUAUGACCUCUAGCACAACAUGAGAUCGAAGGGUAUCACAGGACACAAUUGUUGCUUGAGUAGAAGCCCGUGAUUGUUAGUUACAUUAACUGGAAAACAAUGGAAACAGAGAAUUAAUUGACAAAGGCUAUAGAGCCCAAAGUACCCACACAUCAGUGCAACUCCAAGGAACAAGUCUGACCAUUUUAAAAUGUGCUUCCUGUUUAGCUCGUCACUUUCUUCUUUGUGCUUGCUUCUAGUGUUGCUGUAUUGGCAGUGCGUUAGUCUCAAAGCAACUUUCCAUUAGAGGAAGACCACAAAGACGUGAGCCUCGGUUAAGAUUUUCUAGACUGGUUGAAUUUUGCGGUGUUUUGGAAUGCUUGGAGCCUGAGUUCCCAAGAGCAUUGGCACGUGUUGAACUUGCUAUUUGAGAGGCUUAUUCUGGACAAAAUCAAAUCAACAGGAUCUUCAGACUUGAGUUCUUACUAUUCUGUUGUCCAGGUAUUGGUUCAAAUGUAUUGGCAUGAAGACUGUCCUGAAAAAGAGCCUCCUUGCCAUGGGUUCUAUGCAGACUUCACUAUGGCAACAAGAAUAACAAUACCAGAUUUCAUCACCAGUUUAUCCGUUCUAUUUUGCAAUGAGUUCAUGUGUUUCAUGUAUUGAUUUUGUGUGUUUUGUAUCUUUUUGGAAAAGCAUAUGUAUAUUAUGAUUUACUUGUAUUUUA